UGGGACAUCAAUUAUGAACUUUGUUGAAAGAAACCACAUUUGCAGUGGACCUGGGAUGCCUGGAAUUGCCAAUGGAUGAAGAUAAUCAAAGUUCGCUACCCGUACAGCAGGUGGCAGCAUGGACAUUAAAUUAGUGCGAGCGCCAUUAUAUCAGAGAAGAAGAAGAAGUAGAGAUGGCCGGACCAUGAGUGACAAGGGGAUGACUUCUUGGAUUAGACACGCCACACAGUUCCUAACACGUGACUUCGACUGCAGUGCUUUCAGAGGUUCUGUUAUCUCAGGUCGUAAAUUCCUGGUGGAGACUCUCUCCCCCUGGCCAUGCAGAAAGAGAGACACAUAGAGAGAACAAAGGAUUUCACAUGGCGAACUCCUAAAUCCCCAAAAUGGGAAUUUGAUGCAAAAUGUCCACUUGUGAGAAGGUGGGAAUGGUCUGUGGACACUUAAGGGACGGGUAUGACGAG
Molecule: long non-coding RNA, 461 nt
Filed under: Salmo salar (Atlantic salmon)
Lineage: Eukaryota; Metazoa; Chordata; Actinopteri; Salmoniformes; Salmonidae
Description: lncRNA (ENSSSAG00000105997.1)
Source: RNAcentral